RNAcentral lists this ribosomal RNA (517 nucleotides) under uncultured Glomus. RNAcentral's name for it is "SSU rRNA". It matches the Rfam family "Eukaryotic small subunit ribosomal RNA", at positions 569 to 1089 of the family's 1831-position model. Lineage: Eukaryota; Fungi; Glomeromycota; Glomeromycetes; Glomerales; Glomeraceae. The record is from RNAcentral.
AGCAGCCGCGGUAAUUCCAGCUCCAAUAGCGUAUAUUAAAGUUGUUGCAGUUAAAAAGCUCGUAGUUGAAUUUCGGGGUCAGUAGGCUGGUCGUGCCACAGGUACGCACUGGUCUCACUGAUUCCUCCUUCCUGAUGAACCGUAAUGCCAUUAAUUUGGUGUUGCGGGGAGACUGGACUGUUACUUUGAAAAAUUAGAGUGUUUAAAGCAGGCUAACGCUUGAAUACAUUAGCAUGGAAUAAUGAAAUAGGACGUUCGGUCUUAUUUUGUUGGUUUCUAAGAUUGACGUAAUGAUUAAUAGGGAUAGUUGGGGGCAUUAGUAUUCAAUUGUCAGAGGUGAAAUUCUUGGAUUUAUUGAAGACUAACUACUGCGAAAGCAUUUGCCAAGGAUGUUUUCAUUAAUCAAGAACGAAAGUUAGGGGAUCGAAGACGAUCAGAUACCGUCGUAGUCUUAACCAUAAACUAUGCCGACUAGGGAUCGGAUGAUGUUAAUUUUUAAUGACUCAUUCGGCGUCCG